RNAcentral lists this ribosomal RNA (384 nucleotides) under uncultured bacterium. RNAcentral describes it as "bacterial SSU rRNA". It matches the Rfam family "Bacterial small subunit ribosomal RNA", at positions 30 to 414 of the family's 1533-position model. The record is from RNAcentral.
AUUGAACGCUGGCGGCAUGCCUUACACAUGCAAGUCGAACGGCAGCACGGGGGCAACCCUGGUGGCGAGUGGCGAACGGGUGAGUAAUAUAUCGGAACGUGCCCUAGAGUGGGGGAUAACGUAGCGAAAGUUACGCUAAUACCGCAUACGAUCUACGGAUGAAAGUGGGGGAUCGCAAGACCUCAUGCUCGUGGAGCGGCCGAUAUCUGAUUAGCUAGUUGGUAGGGAAAAGCCUACCAAGGCGACGAUCAGUAGCUGGUCUGAGAGGACGACCAGCCACACUGGGACUGAGACACGGCCCAGACUCCUACGGGAGGCAGCAGUGGGGUAAUUUUGGACAAGUGGGGCAACCCUGAUCCAGCCAUGCCGCGUGCGGGAAGAAGG